This 72-nucleotide transfer RNA is filed under the name Beauveria bassiana. RNAcentral describes it as "tRNA-Asn". It matches the Rfam family "tRNA". From Rfam's summary of the family: Transfer RNA (tRNA) molecules are approximately 80 nucleotides in length. The record is from RNAcentral. Lineage: Eukaryota; Fungi; Ascomycota; Sordariomycetes; Hypocreales; Cordycipitaceae. RNAcentral also lists the same sequence under 2 other names.
GCCUCAUUAGUCUAGGGGUUACGACGUUGGAUUUUGAUUCCAAAAGCAUCAGUUCGAAUCUGAUAUGAGGCU